Small nucleolar RNA from Coffea arabica (coffee), 107 nucleotides. The record is from RefSeq and is a predicted model, not a curated record. NCBI's taxonomy places the organism in Eukaryota, Viridiplantae, Streptophyta, Magnoliopsida, Gentianales, Rubiaceae.
AGUCCAUGAUGUGGACAUGUUCGUAACAAAUCUCUAAAUCUUUCUCAUGCCUCAUAUAAUGAUUCACCCUUUAAUUGGCUAAAACUAGUGAUAUCCAUUUUUAACUU